This 31-nucleotide non-coding RNA is filed under the name Rattus norvegicus (Norway rat). The record is from RNAcentral. Lineage: Eukaryota; Metazoa; Chordata; Mammalia; Rodentia; Muridae.
UNCACAGAUGUUGCCUACUGAUGAUGUAAGC